Molecule: ribosomal RNA, 546 nt
Filed under: uncultured bacterium
Lineage: Bacteria
Description: partial 16S ribosomal RNA
Rfam family: Bacterial small subunit ribosomal RNA
Source: RNAcentral
UGGGGAAUUUUGGACAAUGGGGGCAACCCUGAUCCAGCAAUGCCGCGUGUGUGAAGAAGGCCUUCGGGUUGUAAAGCACUUUUGUCCGGAAAGAAAACGCCGUGGUUAAUACCCGUGGCGGAUGACGGUACCGGAAGAAUAAGCACCGGCUAACUACGUGCCAGCAGCCGCGGUAAUACGUAGGGUGCAAGCGUUAAUCGGAAUUACUGGGCGUAAAGCGUGCGCAGGCGGUCCGCUAAGACAGAUGUGAAAUCCCCGGGCUUAACCUGGGAACUGCAUUUGUGACUGGCGGGCUAGAGUAUGGCAGAGGGGGGUAGAAUUCCACGUGUAGCAGUGAAAUGCGUAGAGAUGUGGAGGAAUACCGAUGGCGAAGGCAGCCCCCUGGGCCAAUACUGACGCUCAUGCACGAAAGCGUGGGGAGCAAACAGGAUUAGAUACCCUGGUAGUCCACGCCCUAAACGAUGUCAACUAGUUGUCGGGUCUUCAUUGACUUGGUAACGUGCUAACGCGUGAAGUUGACCGCCUGGGGAGUACGGUCGCAAGAUU